RNAcentral lists this ribosomal RNA (425 nucleotides) under uncultured bacterium. RNAcentral describes it as "partial 16S ribosomal RNA". It matches the Rfam family "Bacterial small subunit ribosomal RNA", at positions 354 to 796 of the family's 1533-position model. The record is from RNAcentral.
GUGGGGAAUAUUGGACAAUGGGGGCAACCCUGAUCCAGCCAUGCCGCGUGAGUGAUGAAGGCCCUAGGGUUGUAAAGCUCUUUUGUGCGGGAAGAUAAUGACGGUACCGCAAGAAUAAGCCCCGGCUAACUUCGUGCCAGCAGCCGCGGUAAUACGAAGGGGGCUAGCGUUGCUCGGAAUCACUGGGCGUAAAGGGUGCGUAGGCGGGUCUUUAAGUCAGGGGUGAAAUCCUGGAGCUCAACUCCAGAACUGCCUUUGAUACUGAGGAUCUUGAGUUCGGGAGAGGUGAGUGGAACUGCGAGUGUAGAGGUGAAAUUCGUAGAUAUUCGCAAGAACACCAGUGGCGAAGGCGGCUCACUGGCCCGAUACUGACGCUGAGGCACGAAAGCGUGGGGAGCAAACAGGAUUAGAUACCCUGGUAGUCC